Molecule: long non-coding RNA, 815 nt
Organism: Rhineura floridana
Lineage: Eukaryota; Metazoa; Chordata; Lepidosauria; Squamata; Rhineuridae
Exons: 3
Source: RefSeq, a predicted model, not a curated record
GAGAAGAACAGCAACAGUGUUGAAGUUCUUGGCUUUUACAGAAAGAUGGAAAGCGUUCUCUUCCUGUGGCCUCCACCUCCCCUUCCAGCCACCCCUGACCUCCAUUCACGAAAUAAUGCAUUGCAUGAAAGUGGAAGGAGUCCAAAUGGAGGAUGCAUGCACACAUUCAACAAGUGGAAGGCUGUGUGCUUGUGCAGAAAAACUUGGGUGGUGUGUGUGUGUGUGUUGGUGGAGUUACAGAUGGAGGCAUCAGUGUAGUGGGCACCAGGGUCGCCAUAAGUCGGAAUCGACUAGAAGGCAGUCCAUUUAGCAGUCAAAAGAGACCCGUACAGAAGCUGAAACACUCACCUCACCAUUAAUAUCUUUUUCAUUGGUCUAUUGGAUGACAAGAUCAACAAACGGCUGCAAGGACUCACAGUUAUUACAGCUAAGCACGGGAAAAUGGAUUUUGUAUCAGUAGAAGUGAUCAACAGAAGUAAUUGCGAACUGCCUGCAUCUGCCCCCAUUUUGUGACUGACUCUCCUCUCUCUCUCCAUCACCACUGUGGGUCCCAACCUGUCCAAAGAGACAAAAUAAGAGGAAACAAUUUUGCAAUCAAAAGAGACCAGUGCAGAAGCUAAAACACUCAUCUCCCUAUCACUGUCUUUUUCAGUUGGCUAUUUUCAAUUUUCAACUGUCUAGUCAAAUGCAUGACAGGUUCAACAAACACCCACAAGGACUCACAGCUAAGCAUGGUAUCUUCACCUCUCUCUUUGCUCAUCAUCCAGAUGAUGGUGCAGAUGUGCAAAUGCAUGUUAACAACCUCUUUCACCACA